AGGGGCAUAGCUCAGUUGGUAGAGCAGCGGUCUCCAAAACCGCGGGUCGAGGGUUCGAGUCCUUCUGCCCCUGCCA
RNAcentral lists this transfer RNA (76 nucleotides) under Oscillospiraceae bacterium. RNAcentral describes it as "tRNA-Trp". It matches the Rfam family "tRNA". Rfam says of the family: Transfer RNA (tRNA) molecules are approximately 80 nucleotides in length. Their secondary structure includes four short double-helical elements and three loops (D, anti-codon, and T loops). Further hydrogen bonds mediate the characteristic L-shaped molecular structure. tRNAs have two regions of fundamental functional importance: the anti-codon, which is responsible for specific mRNA codon recognition, and the 3' end, to which the tRNAs corresponding amino acid is attached (by aminoacyl-tRNA synthetases). tRNAs cope with the degeneracy of the genetic code in two manners: having more than one tRNA (with a specific anti-codon) for a particular amino acid; and 'wobble' base-pairing, i.e. permitting non-standard base-pairing at the 3rd anti-codon position. Lineage: Bacteria; Bacillati; Bacillota; Clostridia; Eubacteriales; Oscillospiraceae. The record is from RNAcentral.